Molecule: ribosomal RNA, 446 nt
Filed under: uncultured bacterium
Lineage: Bacteria
Description: bacterial SSU rRNA
Rfam family: Bacterial small subunit ribosomal RNA
Source: RNAcentral
CCAGACUCCUACGGGAGGCAGCAGUCGGGAAUAUUGCGCAAUGGAGGAAACUCUGACGCAGUGACGCCGCGUGCAGGAAGAAGGUUUUCGGAUUGUAAACUGCUUUAGACAGGGAAGAAACAAGACAGUACCUGUAGAAUAAGCUCCGGCUAACUACGUGCCAGCAGCCGCGGUAAUACGUAGGGAGCAAGCGUUAUCCGGAUUUAUUGGGUGUAAAGGGUGCGUAGACGGAGAAGCAAGUUAGUUGUGAAAUCCCUCGGCUUAACUGAGGAACUGCAACUAAAACUACUUCCCUUGAGUGCUGGAGAGGAAAGUGGAAUUCCUAGUGUAGCGGUGAAAUGCGUAGAUAUUAGGAGGAACACCAGUGGCGAAGGCGACUUUCUGGACAGUAACUGACGUUGAGGCACGAAAGUGUGGGGAGCAAACAGGAUUAGAUACCCCAGUAA